Molecule: long non-coding RNA, 419 nt
Organism: Lagenorhynchus albirostris (white-beaked dolphin)
Lineage: Eukaryota; Metazoa; Chordata; Mammalia; Artiodactyla; Delphinidae
Exons: 3
Source: RefSeq, a predicted model, not a curated record
UGAAGUUGAUCUGCUCUCAUAAUUUCCUUUCGGGUUGGUGAGCACAGAGCAUCGCAGUCGUGUGCCUGUGAUACCGGUUCCAGUUCCCGUUUGAAAAAGAAGAUCCUAGACAAGGAGCAAAAUAUAUUUGCGUGCACCGAGAGUCCUGUCACUCUUUUUGUUCAACAGCUUGCACACGCAGGCACUGCCCCCAACAUCCAUCCCAUCUUCCCCCUCUGUGAUGCAACAUACGGUUUAGCAGUUAAGAAUCCGCCUGCCAAUGCAGGGGACAUGGGUUCGAGCCCUGGUCCGGGAAGAUCCUACAUGCCGUGGAGCAACUAAGCCUGUGAGCCACAACUACUGAGCCCACGCGCCUAGAGCCCAUGCUCUGCAACAGGAGAAGCCGCCACAAUGAGAAGCCCGCGCACCGCAAUGAAGAG